Molecule: long non-coding RNA, 138 nt
Organism: Sphaeramia orbicularis (orbiculate cardinalfish)
Lineage: Eukaryota; Metazoa; Chordata; Actinopteri; Kurtiformes; Apogonidae
Exons: 3
Source: RefSeq, a predicted model, not a curated record
UUCAAGUAAAAUGCAGUUUUUCAGCUUUUCAAUAGGAUCAGAUGUCUUUUUCAGAUGCACCCAUAGUGUCUGUAGUGAAUGUGGAAACACAGUCAUCUUCUGCAACACUGAUUUACCACCCAUGGGGUUUGACAAAUG